GACGAACGCUGGCGGCGUGCCUAAUACAUGCAAGUAGAACGCUGAAGGAGGAGCUUGCUUCUCUGGAUGAGUUGCGAACGGGUGAGUAACGCGUAGGUAACCUGCCUGGGAGCGUGGGAUAACUAUUGGAAACGAUAGCUAAUACCGCAUAAGAGAAGAGGUUGCAUGACAUUGGCUUAAAAGGUGCAUUUGCAUCGCUACCAGAUGGAGCUGCGUUGUAUUAGCGUGUGGGUGUGGUACCGGCUUACCAAGGCGACGAUACAUAGCCGAACGGCGACGGGGGUCGGCCAGCCUGGGAGUGAGACAGGGCACACACGGCUACGGGAGGCAGCAGUACGGAAUCUUCAGCAAGGGACGGAAGUCUGAGCGAGCAACGCGGAGUGAGUGAAGAAGGUCUUCGGGUCGUAAAGCACUGUUGUAAGAGAAGAACGCGUGUGCGACUGGAAAGUUCACAAUGUGACGGUAUCUUAACAGAAAGCGACGGCUAACUACGUG
This 495-nucleotide ribosomal RNA is filed under the name uncultured bacterium. RNAcentral describes it as "partial 16S ribosomal RNA". It matches the Rfam family "Bacterial small subunit ribosomal RNA", at positions 28 to 507 of the family's 1533-position model. The record is from RNAcentral.